UAGUGAGUUUGAUCCUGGCUCAGGGUGAACGCUGGCGGCGUGCCUAAUACAUGCAAGUCGAGCGCAGGAAGCUCACGGAACUCUUCGGAGGGAAGUGAAGGGAAUGAGCGGCGGACGGGUGAGUAACACGUAAGGAACCUGCCCCAAGGAUUGGGAUAACUCCGAGAAAUCGGAGCUAAUACCGAAUAGUUCUUCAGACCGCAUGGUCUGAUGAUGAAAGGCGCUCCGGCGUCACCUUGGGAUGGCCUUGCGGUGCAUUAGCUAGUUGGUGGGGUAAUGGCCCACCAAGGCGACGAUGCAUAGCCGA
Molecule: ribosomal RNA, 307 nt
Filed under: uncultured Exiguobacterium sp.
Lineage: Bacteria; Bacillati; Bacillota; Bacilli; Caryophanales
Description: bacterial SSU rRNA
Rfam family: Bacterial small subunit ribosomal RNA
Source: RNAcentral